RNAcentral lists this ribosomal RNA (490 nucleotides) under uncultured bacterium. RNAcentral describes it as "partial 16S ribosomal RNA". It matches the Rfam family "Bacterial small subunit ribosomal RNA", at positions 30 to 507 of the family's 1533-position model. The record is from RNAcentral.
AUUGAACGCUGGCGGCAGGCCUAACACAUGCAAGUCGAACGGUAACAGGAAGAAGCUUGCUUCUUUGCUGACGAGUGGCGGACGGGUGAGUAAUGUCUGGGAAACUGCCUGAUGGAGGGGGAUAACUACUGGAAACGGUAGCUAAUACCGCAUAACGUCGCAAGACCAAAGAGGGGGACCUUAGGGCCUCUUGCCAUCGGAUGUGCCCAGAUGGGAUUAGCUUGUUGGUGGGGUAACGGCUCACCAAGGCGACGAUCCCUAGCUGGUCUGAGAGGAUGACCAGCCACAAUGGAACUGAGACACGGUCCAGACUCCUACGGGAGGCAGCAGUGGGGAAUAUUGCACAACGGGCGCAAGCCUGAUGCAGCCAUGCCGCGUGUAUGAAGAAGGCCUUCGGGUUUUAAAGUACUUUCAGAGGGGAGGAAGGGAGUAAAGUUAAUACCUUCGCUCAUUGACGUUACCCGCAGAAGAAGCACCGGCUAACUCCGUG